Molecule: small nucleolar RNA, 71 nt
Organism: Chelmon rostratus (copperband butterflyfish)
Lineage: Eukaryota; Metazoa; Chordata; Actinopteri; Chaetodontiformes; Chaetodontidae
Product: small nucleolar RNA SNORD73
Exons: 1
Source: RefSeq, a predicted model, not a curated record
AACACGUGAUGACAAAAUGUUUCGGUCCCAGAUGAUCACCUGAUUACUGUCUCUUGAGAUCAACUGAUGUU